GAUGAACGCUGGCGGCGUGCUUAACACAUGCAAGUCGAACGGAAAGGCCCAAGCUUGCUUGGGUCCUCGAGUGGCGAGCGGGUGAGUAACACGUGGGUGAUCUGCCCUGCACUUCGGGAUAAGCCUGGGAAACUGGGUCUAAUACUGGAUAGGACCACUUCUUGGAUGUUGUGGUGGAAAGUUUUUUCGGUGUGGGAUGAGCUCGCGGCCUAUCAGCUUGUUGGUGGGGUAAUGGCCUACCAAGGCGUCGACGGGUAGCCGGCCUGAGAGGGUGUACGGCCACAUUGGGACUGAGAUACGGCCCAGACUCCUACGGGAGGCAGCAGUGGGGAAUAUUGCACAAUGGGCGCAAGCCUGAUGCAGCGACGCCGCGUGGGGGAUGACGGCCUUCGGGUUGUAAACUCCUUUCGCUAGGGACGAAGCGUUUUGUGACGGUACCUGGAGAAGAAGCACCGGCUAACUACGUG
This 467-nucleotide ribosomal RNA is filed under the name uncultured bacterium. Its description in RNAcentral is "partial 16S ribosomal RNA". It matches the Rfam family "Bacterial small subunit ribosomal RNA", at positions 28 to 507 of the family's 1533-position model. The record is from RNAcentral.